UUCUGAUUUUCAUGUGGGC
RNAcentral lists this microRNA (19 nucleotides) under Corchorus olitorius. Its description in RNAcentral is "tca-miR-998-". The record is from RNAcentral. Lineage: Eukaryota; Viridiplantae; Streptophyta; Magnoliopsida; Malvales; Malvaceae.